UUUAUUUUAUUUAGUUAUUUUUUUCCACUUAAGUUGACAAUUGAGUGUUAAUUCUUGUUGGUCUGUCAGUUGGUAUGUGUUUGUUUUGGUGCGUGACAGGAAACGGCGCUGACGUUUUACGGCAGCUUCGGUGCAUUCUGGGUCUAACCCAACAUGGCUGCGCCCUUGCUGAAGUGCUGAAGAAGUGCCUCUCCGGAGAUAUUCUCGGGUCUGUGUGUAGUUUUCAAGAAAACCUUCAAGCCAAAUCAGCUUCUUGGGUCGCUGGUUUGCAGGACAACCCCGCGGGACCCCCGUCAUUGAUAAGUGUGGCCGUCUCUUCGCGUGGCUGUGGCAGACUGUCCGUGUGAAGAUGGGCCUCGUCUCCAGCCCCGUCCCAUAGCAAAGAGCCCCGGGGAGAGGAACCGCAGGUUCCCCUGCAAACACGCACCCGUCCAGCUCGCCUUUGACGGGUUCGACCUCCUGUACCGGCUUUGGACGCUCCCCUACAGUUUCCUGACAAGGAUUAUCUGCGCCACCGUGUCUGUCAUCGUCCGGAGACGGAGAGCUUCUUCCCCAUCCAGGGUUGAUAAUCCCGCCGCACCAAGGGCCCUGAUGAAAAUGGACUCAGAUUUGCUUCAUUCCCCGGCUGUGGGGCUGACUGAGGAAGAGGAGGCAGACAUGAAUGACUGGAAACUUCCUUUGACCUUCAUGAAGAAAAGGCACUUGGAGAAGAUCGAGGGCUCCAAGGCGUUGGCACAGAGCUGGAGGAUGAAAGACAGGAUGAAGACAGUGAGUGUUGCUCUGGUUCUGUGUCUCAAUGUGGGAGUGGACCCCCCUGAUGUGGUCAAGACAUCCCCCUGUGCCAGGCUGGAGUGUUGGAUAGGUGAGUAUAUCCUUCCUAAUAACAAACAUAUAAAUAAAUAAAAAAUCUACUUUUCAAUAAAGAUUGAGGUGCUCUUAACAGAAAUUCAAAUUUGAGUCAGGUGAAGGUAAA
Molecule: long non-coding RNA, 973 nt
Organism: Poecilia latipinna (sailfin molly)
Lineage: Eukaryota; Metazoa; Chordata; Actinopteri; Cyprinodontiformes; Poeciliidae
Exons: 3
Source: RefSeq, a predicted model, not a curated record